CCUUGACAUACUAAGAACUUUCCAGAGAUGGAUUGGUGCCUUCGGGAACUUAGAUACAGGUGCUGCAUGGCUGUCGUCAGCUCGUGUCGUGAGAUGUUGGGUUAAGUCCCGNAACGAGCGCAACCCUUUUCCUAUUUGCCAGCGGGCCAUGCCGGGAACUUUAAGGAUACUGCCAGUGACAAACUGGAGGAAGGCGGGGACGACGUCAAGUCAUCAUGGCCCUUACGGCCAGGGCUACACACGUGCUACAAUGGUCGGUACAAAGGGUUGCUACCUCGCGAGAGGAUGCUAAUCUCAAAAAGCCGAUCGUAGUCCGGAUCGCAGUCUGCAACUCGACUGCGUGAAGUCGGAAUCGCUAGUAAUCGCGGAUCAGAAUGCCGCGGUGAAUACGUUCCCGGGCCUUGUACACACCGCCCGUCACACCAUGGGAGUUUGUUGCACCAGAAGUAGGUAGUCUAACCGCAAGGAGGACGCUUACCACGGUGUGGCCGAUGACUGGGGUGAAGUCGUAACAAGGUAGGCGUAGAUGA
Molecule: ribosomal RNA, 530 nt
Filed under: uncultured bacterium
Lineage: Bacteria
Description: bacterial SSU rRNA
Rfam family: Bacterial small subunit ribosomal RNA
Source: RNAcentral